This is a long non-coding RNA of Pipistrellus kuhlii (Kuhl's pipistrelle), 128 nucleotides long. RefSeq lists it as uncharacterized. NCBI's taxonomy places the organism in Eukaryota, Metazoa, Chordata, Mammalia, Chiroptera, Vespertilionidae. The record is from RefSeq and is a predicted model, not a curated record. The transcript is spliced from 3 exons.
UUCCUUCCCAAGAAGGCUGUGCACCUUGUGUUCCCCACACUGCAACCAAGAUGUCAGAUAAAGCCAUCGAGGCGGAGAAGGGUUUACAGCUGACACCCUCCUUCAGGAGUCCCAGUCAGAUGAUGAGG